RNAcentral lists this ribosomal RNA (305 nucleotides) under uncultured bacterium. Its description in RNAcentral is "bacterial SSU rRNA". It matches the Rfam family "Bacterial small subunit ribosomal RNA", at positions 332 to 654 of the family's 1533-position model. The record is from RNAcentral.
AACAGCCUACGGGGCGCAGCAGUGGGGAAUAUUGCACAAUGGGGGAAACCCUGAUGCAGCAACGCCGCGUGAGUGAAGAAGUCAUUCGUGAUGUAAAGCUCUAUCAGCAGGGAAGAAAAUGACGGUACCUGAGUAAGAAGCCCCGGCUAACUACGUGCCAGCAGCCGCGGUAAUACGUAGGGGGCAAGCGUUAUCCGGAUUUACUGGUUGUAAAGGGAGCGUAGGUGGCAUGGCAAGCCAGAAGUGAAAACACGGGGCUUAACCCCGCGGAUUGCUUUUGGAACUGUCAGGCUGGAGUGCAGGAG